Molecule: ribosomal RNA, 339 nt
Filed under: uncultured fungus
Lineage: Eukaryota; Fungi
Description: eukaryotic LSU rRNA
Rfam family: 5.8S ribosomal RNA (bases 1-124)
Source: RNAcentral
GCAUCGAUGAGAACGCAGCGAAAUGCGAUAAGUAAUGUGAAUUGCAGAAUUCAGUGAAUCAUCGAAUCUUUGAACGCACAUUGCGCCCAUUAGUAUUCUAGUAGGCAUGCCUGUUCGAGCGUCAUUUCAACCCCUAAGCACAGCUUAUUGUUGGGCGUCUACGUCUGUAGUGCCUCAAAGACAUUGGCGGAGCGGCAGCAGUCCUCUGAGCGUAGUAAUUCUUUAUCUCGCUUCUGUUAGGCGCUGCCCCCCCGGCCGUAAAACCCCCAAUUUUUUCUGGUUGACCUCGGAUCAGGUAGGAAUACCCGCUGAACUUAAGCAUAUCAAUAAGCGGAGGAA